GAUGAAGAACGUAGUAAAAUGCGAUAAGUAAUGUGAAUUGCAGAAUUCAGUGAAUCAUCGAAUCUUUGAACGCACAUUGCGCCCGCCAGUAUUCUGGCGGGCAUGCCUGUUCGAGCGUCAUUUCAACCCUCAAGCACAGCUUGGUGUUGGGACUCGCGUUAAUUCGCGUUCCCCAAAUUGAUUGGCGGUCACGUCGAGCUUCCAUAGCGUAGUAGUAAAACCCUCGUUACUGGUAAUCGUCGCGGCCACGCCGUUAAACCCCAACUUCUGAAUGUUGACCUCGGAUCAGGUAGGAAUACCCGCUGAACUUAAGCAUAUCAAUAAGCGUAGGA
RNAcentral lists this unclassified non-coding RNA (332 nucleotides) under soil metagenome. Its description in RNAcentral is "partial contains 5.8S ribosomal RNA, internal transcribed spacer 2, and large subunit ribosomal RNA". The stretch from base 1 to 120 matches the Rfam family "5.8S ribosomal RNA", at positions 35 to 154 of the family's 154-position model. The record is from RNAcentral.